RNAcentral lists this transfer RNA (76 nucleotides) under Spirochaetota bacterium. RNAcentral's name for it is "Spirochaetes bacterium tRNA-Arg". It matches the Rfam family "tRNA". Rfam says of the family: Transfer RNA (tRNA) molecules are approximately 80 nucleotides in length. Their secondary structure includes four short double-helical elements and three loops (D, anti-codon, and T loops). The record is from RNAcentral. Lineage: Bacteria; Pseudomonadati; Spirochaetota.
GCCCCUAUAGUUUAGAUGGAUAAAACAUGGACCUUCUAAGUCUGCGUCCCAGGUUCGAUUCCUGGUGGGGGCGCAA